GUCUAUGGCCAGAUCACCUUGGAUCCACCCGAUCUUUUCUGAUCUCAGAGGCUAAGCAAGGUCUGGCCUGGUUAGUACUUGGAUGAGAGGGAAAAAAAUCUGAGUAACAGACG
RNAcentral lists this ribosomal RNA (113 nucleotides) under Castor canadensis (American beaver). Lineage: Eukaryota; Metazoa; Chordata; Mammalia; Rodentia; Castoridae. The record is from RNAcentral.